RNAcentral lists this small RNA (174 nucleotides) under Caballeronia glathei. Its description in RNAcentral is "Burkholderia glathei Manganese sequence". It matches the Rfam family "Manganese Mn2+ riboswitch aptamer (yybP-ykoY)". Rfam says of the family: This RNA was originally discovered in E. coli during a large scale screen and was named SraF. The family was later found to exist upstream of related families of protein genes in many bacteria, including the the yybP and ykoK genes in B. subtilis. The record is from RNAcentral. Lineage: Bacteria; Pseudomonadati; Pseudomonadota; Betaproteobacteria; Burkholderiales; Burkholderiaceae.
GACCCCGUCUUUGGGGAGUAGCCUUCCUUCCGCUCAUGGGAGGAGAACGCGUCAACAUCCUCGGCUUUUCUGCCGUGGCGCGUUCGGCCGGUCAGGUCUGGCGAGACCAUCGAUGCAUCGUGUCGUUCCUGGUCGGACGGCGCGUGGUGCAUCGUGGUUCGCAGACGUCCGACC